AUUAGAUGAGCCUGCGUAAGAUUAGCUUGUUGGUGAGGUAAAGGCUCACCAAGGCGACGAUCUUUAGCGGGUCUGAGAGGACGAUCCGCCACAUUGGGACUGAGACACGGCCCAGACUCCUACGGGAGGCAGCAGUGGGGAAUAUUGGACAAUGGGCGCAAGCCUGAUCCAGCCAUACCGCGUGUGUGAAGAAGGCCCUAGGGUUGUAAAGCACUUUAAGUUGGGAAGAAAAGUUAUUGGUUAAUACCCAAUAACCGUGACAUUACCAUCAGAAUAAGGACCGGCUAAUUCCGUGCCAGCAGCCGCGGUAAUACGGAAGGUCCAAGCGUUAAUCGGAAUUACUGGGCGUAAAGCGCGCGUAGGUGGUUUAUUAAGUUGGAUGUGAAAUCCCCGGGCUCAACCUGGGAACUGCAUCCAAAACUGAUUCACUAGAGUACGAUAGAGGGAGGUAGAAUUCACAGUGUAGCGGUGGAAUGCGUAGAUAUUGUGAAGAAUACCAAUGGCGAAGGCAGCCUCCUGGAUCUGUACUGACACUGAGGUGCGAAAGCGUGGGUAGCGAACAGGAUUAGAUACCCUGGUAGUCCACGCCGUAAACGAUGUCAACUAGCUGUUGGAAAACUAUGUUUUUCAGUGGCGCAGCUAACGUAGUAAGUUGACCGCCUGGGGAGUACGGCCGCAAGGCUAAAACUCAAAUGAAUUGACGGGGACCCGCACAAGCGGUGGAGCAUGUGGUUUAAUUCGAUGCAACGCGAAAAACCUUACCUAUACUUGACAUACUUGGAAUGCUUUGUAAUGAAGCAGUGCCUUCGGGAGCCAAGAUACAGGUGCUGCAUGGCUGUCGUCAGCUCGUGUCGUGAGAUGUUCCGUUAAGUCGGAUAACGAGCGCAACCCUUACCCUUAUUUGCCAGCGAUUCGGUCGGGAACUAUAAGGGGACUGCCGGUGAUAAACCGGAGGAAGGUGAGGACGACGUCAAGUCAUCAUGGCCCUUACGUAUAGGGCUACACACGUGCUACAAUGGAGAAUACAGACGGACGCUAAGCCGCGAGGUGGUGCUAAUCCUAGAAAAUUCUUCGUAGUCCGGAUUGGAGUCUGCAACUCGACUCCAUGAAGUCGGAAUCGCUAGUAAUCGCGAAUCAGCAUGUCGCGGUGAAUACGUUCUCGGGUCUUGUACACACCGCCCGUCAUACCAUGGAAGUGGAUUGCACCAGAAGUAGAUAGUCUAACCUUCGGGAGGGCGUUUACCACGGUGUGCUUCAUGACUGGGGUAAAGUCGUAACAAGGUAACCG
Molecule: ribosomal RNA, 1288 nt
Filed under: uncultured bacterium
Lineage: Bacteria
Description: bacterial SSU rRNA
Rfam family: Bacterial small subunit ribosomal RNA
Source: RNAcentral